ACGCUCGACACCUACGGGAAGCAGCAGUGGGGAAUAUUGCACAAUGGGGGAAACCCUGAUGCAGCGACGCCGCGUGAAGGAAGAAGUAUCUCGGUAUGUAAACUUCUAUCAGCAGGGAAGAAAAUGACGGUACCUGACUAAGAAGCCCCGGCUAACUACGUGCCAGUAGCCGCGGUAAUCUGAGCGGGCUGGCAAGGC
Molecule: ribosomal RNA, 198 nt
Filed under: uncultured bacterium
Lineage: Bacteria
Description: partial 16S ribosomal RNA
Rfam family: Bacterial small subunit ribosomal RNA
Source: RNAcentral